ACGCUGGCGGCAGGCCUAACACAUGCAAGUCGAGCGGUAGAGAGAAGCUUGCUUCUCUUGAGAGCGGCGGACGGGUGAGUAAUGCCUAGGAAUCUGCCUGGUAGUGGGGGAUAACGUUCGGAAACGGACGCUAAUACCGCAUACGUCCUACGGGAGAAAGCAGGGGACCUUCGGGCCUUGCGCUAUCAGAUGAGCCUAGGUCGGAUUAGCUAGUUGGUGGGGUAAUGGCUCACCAAGGCGACGAUCCGUAACUGGUCUGAGAGGAUGAUCAGUCACACUGGAACUGAGACACGGUCCAGACUCCUACGGGAGGCAGCAGUGGGGAAUAUUGGACAAUGGGCGAAAGCCUGAUCCAGCCAUGCCGCGUGUGUGAAGAAGGUCUUCGGAUUGUAAAGCACUUUAAGUUGGGAGGAAGGGUUGUAGAUUAAUACUCUGCAAUUUUGACGUUACCGACAGAAUAAGCACCGGCUAACUCUGUGCCAGCAGCCGCGGUAAUACAGAGGGUGCAAGCGUUAAUCGGAAUUACUGGGCGUAAAGCGCGCGUAGGUGGUUUGUUAAAUUGGAUGUGAAAUCCCCGGGCUCAACCUGGGAACUGCAUUCAAAACUGACUGACUAGAGUAUGGUAGAGGGUGGUGGAAUUUCCUGUGUAGCGGUGAAAUGCGUAGAUAUAGGAAGGAACACCAGUGGCGAAGGCGACCACCUGGACUAAUACUGACACUGAGGUGCGAAAGCGUGGGGAGCAAAC
Molecule: ribosomal RNA, 745 nt
Filed under: uncultured bacterium
Lineage: Bacteria
Description: bacterial SSU rRNA
Rfam family: Bacterial small subunit ribosomal RNA
Source: RNAcentral